GACGAACGCUGGCGGUGUGCCUAAUACAUGCAAGUUGAGCGCUGAAGGUUGGUACUUGUACCGACUGGAUGAGCAGCGAACGGGUGAGUAACGCGUGGGGAAUCUGCCUUUGAGCGGGGGACAACAUUUGGAAACGAAUGCUAAUACCGCAUAAAAACUUUAAACACAAGUUUUAAGUUUGAAAGAUGCAAUUGCAUCACUCAAAGAUGAUCCCGCGUUGUAUUAGCUAGUUGGUGAGGUAAAGGCUCACCAAGGCGAUGAUACAUAGCCGACCUGAGAGGGUGAUCGGCCACAUUGGGACUGAGACACGGCCCAAACUCCUACGGGAGGCAGCAGUAGGGAAUCUUCGGCAAUAGACGAAAGUCUGACCGAGCAACGCCGCGUGAGUGAAGAAGGUUUUCGGAUCGUAAAACUCUGUUGGUAGAGAAGAACGUUGGUGAGAGUGGAAAGCUCAUCAAGUGACGGUAACUACCCAGAAAGGGACGGCUAACUACGUG
Molecule: ribosomal RNA, 497 nt
Filed under: uncultured bacterium
Lineage: Bacteria
Description: partial 16S ribosomal RNA
Rfam family: Bacterial small subunit ribosomal RNA
Source: RNAcentral